Molecule: ribosomal RNA, 253 nt
Filed under: uncultured bacterium
Lineage: Bacteria
Description: partial 16S ribosomal RNA
Rfam family: Bacterial small subunit ribosomal RNA
Source: RNAcentral
UACGGAGGGUGCAAGCGUUAAUCGGAAUUACUGGGCGUAAAGCGCACGCAGGCGGUCUGUCAAGUCGGAUGUGAAAUCCCCGGGCUCAACCUGGGAACUGCAUUCGAAACUGGCAGGCUAGAGUCUUGUAGAGGGGGGUAGAAUUCCAGGUGUAGCGGUGAGAUGCGUAGAGAUCUGGAGGAAUACCGGUGGCGAAGGCGGCCCCCUGGACAAAGACUGACGCUCAGGUGCGAAAGCGUGGGGAGCAAACAGG